Molecule: non-coding RNA, 347 nt
Organism: Schizosaccharomyces pombe (fission yeast)
Lineage: Eukaryota; Fungi; Ascomycota; Schizosaccharomycetes; Schizosaccharomycetales; Schizosaccharomycetaceae
Source: the annotation of a GenBank genome assembly
AUGUUGAGAUUAACAUGUCAGGAAAGACAAUUUCACUUAUGCUUAGCGAGACAAUAUUGUUGAAUUAGUAAUUUGGCUGUUCAUUCAACUUGCCGCAGUUGGAAAAUGUAAAAUCAUUAAUUUGUGAUGAAACCUCGUAAAACAUAUUUUUUAACGUUAAUCGAUUGAAACCCUUUUUGAAUUAGUUCGUGAAAUAUCUUAACUCUAAAACCUUGAAAAUCUUUAGAUAGAAGAUCCUUUUUUUUUUUUUUUGGGAAGAAUAUGAAGCGUUUUGAUACAAUUGGUAAUAAAACAUUAUUUGGUAUUGGUUUUUAUUGGAAGUUUAGUUUUACAAAAGUGUAGAUGUC